AGCGCAGGUGGGAAAGUAAGUUAAAUGUGAAAUCUACGGGCUCAACUCGUAAAUUGCGUUUGAUACUAUUUUUCUUGAGUGGAGUAGAGGCAGGCGGAAUUCCAGGUGUAGCGGUGGAAUGCGUAGAUAUCUGGAGGAACACCAGUGGCGAAGGCGGCCUGCUGGGCUCUAACUGACACUGAGGCUCGAAAGCGUGGGUAGCAAACA
RNAcentral lists this ribosomal RNA (207 nucleotides) under uncultured bacterium. RNAcentral describes it as "partial 16S ribosomal RNA". It matches the Rfam family "Bacterial small subunit ribosomal RNA", at positions 568 to 774 of the family's 1533-position model. The record is from RNAcentral.